RNAcentral lists this ribosomal RNA (499 nucleotides) under uncultured organism. Its description in RNAcentral is "bacterial SSU rRNA". It matches the Rfam family "Bacterial small subunit ribosomal RNA", at positions 29 to 507 of the family's 1533-position model. The record is from RNAcentral.
AACGAACGUUAGCGGCGCGCUUAACACAUGCAAGUCGCACGAGAAAGGGCGCAAGCCCCGGUAAAGUGGCGCACGGGUGAGUAACACGUAGGUAACCUACCCCUGGGUGGUGGAUAACCUUCCGAAAGGAGGGCUAAUACAGCGUAAGACCACGGUUGCGAAAGCGACUGAGGUCAAAGCGGGCCUCUGCAAGCAAGCUCGCGCCUGGGGAUGGGCCUGCGGCCCAUCAGCUAGUUGGCGGGGUAACAGCCCACCAAGGCUAAGACGGGUAGCUGGUCUGAGAGGAUGAUCAGCCACACUGGAACUGAGACACGGUCCAGACUCCUACGGGAGGCAGCAGUGGGGAAUCUUGCGCAAUGGGCGAAAGCCUGACGCAGCGACGCCGCGUGGGUGAUGAAGGCCUUCGGGUUGUAAAGCCCUGUGGGGAGAGACGAAUAAGGCCGGGCGAAUAUCCCGGUUGAUGACGGUAUCUCUUUAGCAAGCACCGGCUAACUCUGUG